CCUACGGGAGGCAGCAGUGGGGAAUAUUGCACAAUGGGGGAAACCCUGAUGCAGCGACGCCGCGUGAGUGAAGAAGUAAUUCGUUAUGUAAAGCUCUAUCAGCAGGGAAGAAAAUGACGGUACCUGAGUAAGAAGCCCCGGCUAACUACGUGCCAGCAGCCGCGGUACUACGUAGGGGGCAAGCGUUAUCCGGAUUUACUGGGUGUAAAGGGAGCGUAGACGGCAGUGCAAGUCUGGAGUGAAAGGCGGGGGCUCAACCCCCGGACUGCUCUGGAAACUGUACGGCUGGAGUGCAGAUGAGGUAAGUGGAAUUCCUGGUGUAGCGGUGAAAUGCGUAGAUAUUAGGAGGAACACCAGUGGCGAAGGCGGCUUACUGGACUGUAACUGACGUUGAGGCUCGAAAGCGUGGGGAGCAAACAGGAUUAGAUACCCCUGUAGUC
This 440-nucleotide ribosomal RNA is filed under the name uncultured bacterium. RNAcentral's name for it is "partial 16S ribosomal RNA". It matches the Rfam family "Bacterial small subunit ribosomal RNA", at positions 338 to 795 of the family's 1533-position model. The record is from RNAcentral.